CAUUGAAAUGCCUUUGCUGCUGCUGCUACGCAUAGGCUCAUUCCCAGUCAGUGCUUGAGGAGGGCACAUCUUACAGGGCUCUACUGUGGAGUCUGAUCUGCAAAUGGUGCUAAAAAUCCCUCUGCGCAGAUCUGUCAGCCUCAGCCCUGAGCAUCACUCCUCUGCAGCUCCAGCAGAGAUGACUGGACCCACCACACUGAAAAUGGAAGCAAAUAUCCUGGUCCUUGGUGCAGAGGGAGUGGGGAAAUCAGCACUAACUGUAAGGUUUUUGACAAGACGCUUCAUUGGAGAGUAUGGGGAGCUUGAAUCAAUAUAUAGUCACAGUGUCUGUGUGGAUGGGAAGGAAGUGAUAUUUAAUAUCUGGGAUUUUCCAUAUUCAAAGGAUCCAACUGAGGAGAGCUGUGCUGAGGAAGAAAAGCGUAUGCAGUGGGCUGAUGGCUAUGUCCUUGUGUAUAGUAUAUGUGACAGAGCCAGUUUCAAUGUCAUCUGCCAAACAAUCCAGCUUAUUAAAGCAGCAAAAGACUGUCUAGGAACAGAGAAACUUCCCAUUGUAAUUGUGGGAAACAAACGGGAUCUCCAUCACCUACGUGUUGUGUCUAGUGAAGAGGGCAGGCUUUUAGCUCUGUCUAUGGACUGUGACUUUUAUGAAGUUUCAGCAGCUGAAGCAUACCAUGGUGUUCUUAUGGUUUUUCAUGGGUUAGUGGACAAGAUUCGUGAAUCCAAGCUGGUUAUAAAGAAGGGUAUGGGAAUACGUGGCAUUGUAAAGAGCAUGUCUGCAGUGUUCGCGAGAAGAAGAACAGAUUCUCUGUGAUGCCUCUUACACAUGGCUUGUAGAUUCACAUGAUUUCAAAUCCUGUGGUGCAGGUGCCUUUAUUAACAAGACUAUGCCUAUAUAUAUUGCAUUUGAGUCAUUGAUUGUUCUAACAGUAUUUAUAGGGCUAUUGUGUUGAAUAUAAUCAGCUUGAUAUUCAGUGGAUGUUUACUGUAGAACAACAGCUGUCACUGUGAGAUAAGCUAAUGUACCGCAUCAAAGCAAUCACAGAUUCACAAUGUUUCUGCAUCAAGGACCACUUUGCAACAUUCAUCAUUAUAUUUUGUGUCUACUCGUUGAUGGGAAAAACAGUCACUUUAAUGAUCCCCUGUUGCAAGAUCAGAAUUUCCACUAGGUACAACGGAUAUUUGUUUAAACAGGGAGUCAACCUGCCAGCAAGACCCUAUUGUUUUAUGAAGGAAUUUGCACUACAUCUGAUUUUGGCAUUGGAUGGGACAUGUUUUCUGUUUUGUUCAUCCAAUGCUAUCUCCAGAGAUUUGCUACAGUGGUUUUGCAGACUCGUCUUGGAGAAUUCCACUGUUCAAUCAUCGCAUUCAUUCUGGGAUAAUGCUUCCAGUUCCAUGUCAUGCAAAAGGCAUUACUACAGAGCUUGGAACUGUUCUGCAUUCCACGAUUGUGUGGACUCUGCAACUUUGUUCUCUCCAACAUAGACAUCACUGUUAUAGAUUAGAUUUUGAACUGUGUUGUGCUUUUUCAGAUAAUACAUUGUUAUAUGAAUGUAAAAGAAUGAUGGAGGGCAUCACUGAAAAUCAUCUAUGGGUAACACCACAGAGAACUUGCUUUUGCAGGUCAUUAUCAUCAUUUUGGGAUUGGACAAAAAAAUUGUGGUCUACAAUCAUUGUAAAUUAUACACACAUUUCUGUAAACUCUGUAAAUAAUGUAUGUUGUUUUAUGUUUGGAACAAAGUGAAAUCUUCAUGUUUAAUUAUACAAAAUCUUGCGUGUAAUGAACUUGAGAUGUGUGCUGUAAGUAUCUGUUGCAAAUAUAUAAAUGUACACAUCAUUAUAGAUUACUAGUUACUAGUGGGAGGCUAGUUCAGGAAGUGUACUUUAAAAAAGGAAUGUUGGAUUGGUAGAGUUGUGUGCAACUUAAAUGCUUUCCCUUACAAGCCUUUGGGGUAGGUUAUGAUGUUAACCUGCUAGGUUAAUGACCUCACCAAACCAGAGGUUCUUAAAGGAGAAGGAAAUCUACCGAAGCAGUUUAUUUUACCACUUCAGUAAA
RNA transcript from Xenopus laevis (African clawed frog), 2053 nucleotides. It is a transcript of the gene named RERG/RAS-like S homeolog, with no coding region annotated. The record is from RefSeq and is a predicted model, not a curated record. NCBI's taxonomy places the organism in Eukaryota, Metazoa, Chordata, Amphibia, Anura, Pipidae. The transcript has 5 exons.